This 226-nucleotide long non-coding RNA is filed under the name Citrus sinensis (sweet orange). RNAcentral describes it as "long non-coding RNA (CSIN_LNC005608)". Lineage: Eukaryota; Viridiplantae; Streptophyta; Magnoliopsida; Sapindales; Rutaceae. The record is from RNAcentral.
UCGUUAUGUUCUGUUACAAGAGCGGGAAAAUCUGGGUCUUAUUGACAGAGGAGAGCUGACUGGUGGGGGGAUUUUCUGGGCUCUCUUAAGCGUGUAUAUAUAGACUUAAGGGAUACGGAGUCAGGCAGUGUGAUGCUUGUAAUUUCAUCUUAAAACUUGUAUCUUGUUCCUGGUGAUUGAAUAAAGAUUGUUGCUCUGUUCUUCAGUGGAUGUAAGCCAUCUCCAG